GACGAACGCUGGCGGCGCGCUUAAUACAUGCAAGUCGAGCGAGAACCAGGGCUUCGGCCCUGGGGACAGCGGCGAACGGGUGAGUAACACGUGGAUAACCUACCCUCGGCACCGGAAUAGCCCGGGGAAACUCGGAUUAAUGCCGGAUAGCCCCACAUCCUCUCGAGGAACGUGGGAAAAGGUAGCUUCGGCCUCUGGCCGGGGAUGGGUCCGCGGUGGAUUAGCUUGUUGGUGCGGGUAAUGGCCCACCAAGGCGACGAUCCAUAGCUGGUCUGAGAGGACGAUCAGCCACACUGGGACUGAGACACGGCCCAGACUCCUACGGGAGGCAGCAGUAGGGAAUCUUGCGCAAUGGGCGAAAGCCUGACGCAGCGACGCCGCGUGCGGGAAGAAGGCC
This 397-nucleotide ribosomal RNA is filed under the name uncultured bacterium. Its description in RNAcentral is "bacterial SSU rRNA". It matches the Rfam family "Bacterial small subunit ribosomal RNA", at positions 28 to 416 of the family's 1533-position model. The record is from RNAcentral.